AUUUUGGGUUCCUUGAUUUCCUUGGGAGGAUAUAGUCUUGGGUGAUUGGAUCUUCUAAACCAGUAUUCAUUGCAGAAAAGCUCUCCUCCAAGACUCACCAGAGAGCAUUCGGUGUUCUCAUCUGUCAGCAAGUGGAGACACUGCAAUGCACAAGUAAGCGCAUGAAUAAAGGACGCAGAGAUGGUGACCAGUGCCAGGAAGGAGGACCUCUAGAGAGGAGCUGGAGAAGGAUGGAGAGGGACACCGAUGGUGAAAGGCACAGAAUCGCAAUAGCUGGCCAGGUCAGCAGGGCAUCUUCCUGUGUGAUUGGCCAAAGCCUGUUUUGUUCCUUAGCAGGUCAGAGGGCAAACUCCUGCAAGCUCCUUCUAAAGCCCUCUGACGGUCUGGAAAGGAGCAAGGUGGUGAAUUCAGCACUUGGCCAGGGAAAAGCUGUACCUGCUUUAGAGCUGUAGGCUUGGG
Heterocephalus glaber (naked mole-rat) is the source of this 459-nucleotide long non-coding RNA. The record is from Ensembl. NCBI's taxonomy places the organism in Eukaryota, Metazoa, Chordata, Mammalia, Rodentia, Bathyergidae.